GCCAAGGUGGCGGAGCGGCUACGCAAUCGCCUGCAGAGCGGUUUUAUUCCGGUUCGAAUCCGGACCUUGGCU
This 72-nucleotide transfer RNA is filed under the name ANME-2 cluster archaeon. Its description in RNAcentral is "tRNA-Cys". It matches the Rfam family "tRNA". From Rfam's summary of the family: Transfer RNA (tRNA) molecules are approximately 80 nucleotides in length. The record is from RNAcentral. Lineage: Archaea; Methanobacteriati; Methanobacteriota; Methanomicrobia; Methanosarcinales. RNAcentral also lists the same sequence under 2 other names.